RNAcentral lists this small RNA (264 nucleotides) under Pongo abelii (Sumatran orangutan). Its description in RNAcentral is "retained intron". Lineage: Eukaryota; Metazoa; Chordata; Mammalia; Primates; Hominidae. The record is from RNAcentral.
CCCAGAAGGCAGGGCAGAGCUAGCUUCUGGGAUCCUUCAGCCCCUGCAGGUUUGGGACUCUGUUCACAGGUCCAGACCCAGUACUUAUUAUGAACUGUUGGGGGUGCAUCCUGGUGCCAGCACUGAGGAAGUUAAACGAGCUUUCUUCUCCAAGUCCAAAGAGCUGCACCCAGACCGGGACCCUGGGAACCCAAGCCUGCACAGCCGCUUUGUGGAGCUGAGCGAGGCAUACCGUGUGCUCAGCCGUGAGCAGAGCCGCCGCAG